GCGGGCGUGGUAUAGUGGCUAUUAUACGUCCUUGCCAAGGACGAGAUGGCGGUUCGAUUCCGCUCGCCCGCUCCA
Molecule: transfer RNA, 75 nt
Filed under: bacterium
Lineage: Bacteria
Description: tRNA-Gly
Rfam family: tRNA
About the family: Transfer RNA (tRNA) molecules are approximately 80 nucleotides in length.
Source: RNAcentral